CAGAGAAGCGGGAGGGCAGAGAAGCCGGGUCUGAGGGAGGAGAGGGGAUCCUCGAUUUCAUGAGUGGGAAAGGGGGUACAGUCAGAGAAAAGCAUGGGGUUAGGGAUUUCAGAUUUCAAGGGGGGAGAGAGGCUGUGCUUCGUUUCGAUGGGGCCGAGCGUCUAUGAUUCGAUCGGAUCGAGGUGAUGGGGACAACGUGAGGGGUUGAGGUGGCGUCGGGAAGGUUGCGAGAGGGUUCUGUUUCUAGGGACUGGGUUAAUUUGAUUCUUCACCUAUGAUUGGAUAUUAUAUUACAAUUGUGGGUUCUGUUUUGAGGGCUGGAUGAAAAGAAACACCCAUCAGAGCUUCUAACAACUCGAAGAAUUGCAGAUUUCUAAAUCGGAAAGGAAAAACAAGCACUAUAGCAGUUUAUGCAGAAGGAGCAUGUAAAAGAGAAGCACAAGUAAAGGUUUCUAAGAUCAGGAUGACACACCUAUCGGGGCAAUGUCGGGAUGUUUAGGCUUAGGUGGAGACGUGGACUUAUGGAAGAGGUGAAGUAGCUUAGCUCUCUGUCAUUAGCUUUAUCUGUUCUAUGCAUCUCUACAAUCUUACAAUGAUCUUUUAUUAAAUUGCAAGAUGUUGGGACCAGUUACUGGAAUACGAGAUAUGGAACAAAAGUGGUUGACAAUGCAAGAGUCGAAACCAAGUGUGAAAUUCACAUUGAAAAUGACAGGAGAGGGUUGCGCAUGAUCUAUAGGUUCAAUCAACCUCGCUGUUUUUGUGAGAAUCACAAUUAAAGGUUUAUUCUCAGCAUUUUUUUGUUAGGGUGCUGCUGAAGCUAAUAGGCUUGAGCAAUGCUCCUUCAACAAAACAAGGAAAAAAGAGUUGUUCAAAUGGCAGUAUUCGAGUCUCUUAGUGUUUCUCAUUAAUAUUAUCAUUCUAAACGCACCAAUAACAUUAUCAUUUCCUGAUGCUAUAAUGCCCCAAAUAUUUUGAUUAAAAGUGAUGAACUGCAUAACCAAACGACAUUUACCUUCUAAUUUCCAUCAAAGAGCAACUUGUUAUUAA
Molecule: non-coding RNA, 1047 nt
Organism: Malus domestica (apple)
Lineage: Eukaryota; Viridiplantae; Streptophyta; Magnoliopsida; Rosales; Rosaceae
Source: RefSeq, a predicted model, not a curated record